RNAcentral lists this long non-coding RNA (878 nucleotides) under Nicotiana tabacum (common tobacco). RNAcentral's name for it is "long non-coding RNA (NTAB_LNC013561)". Lineage: Eukaryota; Viridiplantae; Streptophyta; Magnoliopsida; Solanales; Solanaceae. The record is from RNAcentral.
AUUGACCUAUGGCCGGAUGUGUAUUUGGAACAUGCUUUUAAACAAAAUAGACUGAAAUGACAAAACAUUACUACUACAUCAUUAGUUUUUAUUAACUAAAAGCAUUCACAAGGGGGGGGGGGGAAUUUACAACUAAAUUACUAUAGAAUAGGCAUGUCCAGUUAUACAUAAACAAACACCUACUUGACUCUAAUAAAAGAAAGGUAUUCUAAUGUAUAUACAAACAAAUAGACAACUAUAAUGAAUUUUAAAACUUCAACUCCUUAUUUCUUUGUAUUCAUGCUUCAAGUUUCAACCUACAAGAACCAGUGUAUCAAAUUUGUGUACCUGGUAUUUGGAAAGCAAAGAGAAGAAGAGGAAGAUCAGUGCAGAAAAACAGCAGUAGCAUACACAGUAACACAACAGUACAGCAAUAACCAGUAGACCAGUAGCCAACAAUAACAGUAGCAGAAAUACCAGGAGCAGAUUGAAAACAGGAGAAUAACCCCAGCAACUCAAUAGAACAGAGCUUGAAAAACCAGCAGAAAUCCCAGGAAAUUCCAAAUUCAAACCAAACAAUACCACAAAACAAUUACAGUCAAAACAGAAGAUAGGCAAGUGUAAGAAAAUUUUCUUUCUGAUCGUGAACCCUCAAAGAAGAAAGCAAACUCAAGCUCUUUACCGUAAGCUUAGCCCUUAAACAUUUACUCUAUUCCUCACUUAGUAAGAUAACAUAGUCUAUAUGCACUCUCCUCUUUAGUUCUGAAAUUUCUCCUAAUUUUCAGCACUCUUUCCCCUCUCUUUAAAAUUCUCUCCCUUCUCCUCUUUCAGUAUUUUUUCUGGUUCCUCCUUUUUUAAACUCUUAAAUUUUUCUUUUUGUGUUCAAAAAAAUCCCCCCC